CAAUCAUUUACUCCUGUUUCUUUACACAAAACACAGUGGGAUCAGACCUGAUAACACAGGAAAUGCACAUACACAUUUUGGCCCCAGGUUGGGCAUUUCUGGAGAGUCUGGGAAAGGCCAGGCUGGUCUUACAAAUACUCUUAUGCCAGCAGUGGGUGGGGGAAGCAAGUAGGAGAGUAGGUGACCGGUAGGCUCUGGAGUCAGCAGGCCUUGUUCUGUUUGUGUUGUGCUGCAGUGGGGGAUGCAUUAUAAAUGCAGCCAGUCAGAGGGCCCCUGGCUUCAGAACCUCAGACGGUACUGAUUCCGAGAUUCUGUGCAAGCCUCAUGGAAAUGAAGCUGCCAGGCCAGGAGGAGUUUGAAGCCUCCAGUGCUCCUAGAAAUAUUCCUUCAGGGGAGCUGGACAGCAACCCUGGCCCUGGCACCGGCCCCAGCCCUGAUGGCCCCUCAGACACAGAGAGCAAGGAACUGGGAGUACGCAAAGACCCUCUGCUCUUCAUUCAGCUGAAUGAGCUGCUGGGCUGGCCCCAGGCACUGGAGUGGAGAGAGACAGGCAGGUGGGUACUGUUUGAGGAGAAGUUGGAGGUGGCUGCAGGCCGGUGGAGUGCCCCUCAUGUGCCCACCCUGGCACUGCCCAGCCUCCAGAAGCUCCGCAGCCUGCUGGCCGAGGGCCUUGUACUGCUGGACUGCCCAGCUCAGAGCCUCCUGGAGCUUGUGGAGCAGGUGACCAGGGUGGAGUCGCUGAGCCCAGAGCUGAGAGGGCAGCUGCAGGCCUUGCUGCUGCAGAGACCCCAGCAUUACAACCAGACCACAGGCACCAGGCCCUGCUGGGGCUCUACUCAUCCAAGAAAGGCUUCUGACAAUGAGGAAGCCCCCCUGAGGGAACAGUAUCAGAACCCCCUGAGACAGAAGCUGCCUCCAGGAGCCGAGGCAGGGACUGUGCUGGCAGGGGAGCUGGGCUUCCUGGCACAGCCACUGGGAGCCUUUGUUCGACUGCGGGAUCCUGUGGUACUGGGGUCCCUUACUGAGGUGUCCCUCCCAAGCAGGUUUUUCUGCCUUCUCCUGGGCCCCCCUAUGCUGGGAAAGGGCUACCAUGAGAUGGGACGGGCAGCAGCUGUCCUCCUCAGUGACCCGCAAUUCCAGUGGUCAGUUCGUCGGGCCAGCAACCUUCAUGACCUUCUGGCAGCCCUGGAUGCGUUCCUAGAGGAGGUGACAGUGCUUCCCCCGGGUCGGUGGGACCCAACAGCCCGGAUUCCCCCGCCCAAAUGUCUGCCAUCUCAGCACAAAAGGCUUCCCUCGCAACAGCGGGAGAUCAGAGGUCCCUCCGGCCCGCGCCUGACCUCGGCUGAGGACAGGCACCGCCAUGGGCUGCACGCACCCAGCCAGGAGUUGCAGCGGACUGGCAGGCUGUUUGGGGGCCUUAUCCAGGACGUGCGCAGGAAGGCCCCAUGGUACCCCAGCGAUUUCUUGGACGCGCUGCAUCUCCAAUGCUUCUCGGCGGUACUCUACAUUUACCUGGCCACUGUCACUAAUGCCAUCACUUUCGGGGGUCUGCUGGGAGAUGCCACUGAUGGUGCCCAGGGAGUGCUGGAAAGUUUCCUGGGCACAGCAGUGGCAGGAGCUGCCUUCUGCCUGAUGGCAGGCCAGCCCCUCACCAUCCUGAGCAGCACUGGGCCGGUGCUGGUCUUUGAGCGCCUGCUCUUCUCUUUCAGCAGAGAUUACAGCCUGGACUACCUGCCCUUCCGCCUAUGGGUGGGCAUCUGGGUGGCUACCUUUUGCCUGGUGCUGGUGGCCACAGAGGCCAGUGUUCUGGUGCGCUACUUCACCCGCUUCACUGAGGAAGGUUUCUGUGCCCUCAUCAGCCUCAUCUUCAUCUACGAUGCUGUGGGCAAAAUGCUGAACUUGACCCAUACCUAUCCUAUCCAGAAGCCUGGGUCCUCUACCUACGGGUGCCUCUGCCAAUACCCAGGCCCAGGAGGAAAUGACUCUCAGUGGAUAAGGACAAGGCCAAAAGACAGAGACGACAUCGUAAGCAUGGACCUAGGCCUGAUCAAUGCAUCCUUGCUGCCGCCACCUGAGUGUACCCAGCAGGGAGGCCAGCCUCGUGGCCCUGGCUGUCAUACAGUCCCAGACAUUGCCUUCUUCUCCCUUCUCCUCUUCCUUACUUCUUUCUUCUUUGCUAUGGCCCUCAAGUGUGUAAAGACCAGCCGCUUCUUCCCCUCUGUGGUGCGCAAAGGGCUCAGCGACUUCUCCUCAGUCCUGGCCAUCCUGCUGGGCUGUGGCCUUGAUGCUUUCCUGGGCCUAGCCACACCAAAGCUCAUGGUGCCCAGAGAGUUCAAGCCCACACUCCCUGGGCGUGGCUGGCUGGUGUCACCUUUUGGAACCAACCCGUGGUGGUGGAGUGUGGCAGCUGCCCUGCCUGCCCUGCUGCUGUCUAUCCUCAUCUUCAUGGACCAACAGAUCACAGCGGUCAUCCUCAACCGCGUGGAAUACAGACUGCAGAAGGGAGCUGGCUUCCACCUGGACCUCUUCUGUGUGGCUGUGCUGAUGCUACUCACAUCAGUGCUUGGACUGCCUUGGUAUGUCUCAGCCACUGUCAUCUCCCUGGCUCACAUGGACAGUCUUCGGAGAGAGAGCAGAGCCUGUGCCCCUGGGGAGCUCCGCAACUUCCUGGGUAUCAGGGAGCAGAGGCUGACAGGCCUGGUGGUGUUUAUCCUUACAGGAGCCUCCAUCUUCCUGGCACCUGUGCUCAAGUUCAUCCCAAUGCCUGUGCUCUAUGGCAUCUUCCUGUAUAUGGGGGUGGCAGCACUUAGCAGCAUUCAGUUCACUAAGAGAGUGAAGCUGUUGUUGAUGCCAGCAAAACACCAGCCAGACCUGCUACUCUUGAGGCAUGUGCCUCUGACCAGGGUCCAUCUCUUCACAGCCAUCCAGCUUGUCUGUCUGGGGCUACUUUGGAUAAUCAAGUCUACCCCUGCAGCCAUCAUCUUCCCCCUCAUGUUGUUGGGCCUUGUGGGGGUCCGAAAGGCCCUGGAGAGGGUCUUCUCACCACAGGAACUCCUCUGGCUGGAUGAGCUGAUGCCAGAGGAGGAGAGAAGCAUCCCUGAGAAGGGGCUGGAGCCAGAACACUCGUUCAGUGGAAGUGACAGUGAAGAUGUGAGCUCCAGGCUGGGUCCUCUCAGGAGAGUGUGUCGGGGUUUGGGAGAGCGUUCUUGUCCAGGAGCUGUCCCUAAAUAAUAUCUCCAUUAAGCCUGCAGAUCUGAUCAACAGUCACUUCCCUUAGCUGGGUAUGGACACAUAGGCAGACCGAAGGGGUGAAGGAAAUCUUUCUUCAUAGGACAGGGGCCCUUGAUGUGGGUGGAAAGGGCUGAGGCUUCAGCUCAAGUGGGCUGUCUUUCUCAACUCUGAUCUUUGUUUUGUCUCACUGUGGGUUUAUAUCCGGUCAGUGGGUCCCUUCCUCUAUGUUGUCUCUCACUAUCUGUCUUUCUAUCUAUUCUCAAUCCAUCUUGGGAUCUGUCUUCCACAGUCAGAGCUGAUGUAUCAGCCAAAGGCUCCAGAAAUCAACAUUUCUGUGAAUUAGCUGGAGUAGGAGUCUGGGAGUGGAGACCCCAGGAAACAGCAUGAGUUCACAGGUGCUUAUUCAGGAAGUCAGGACACUUUUGGCCUUUGGCUUAACUUCCAGAUGCUCAGUCGGCUUGGGGAAGGACUGAAGGGCAGCUGCCAAGACCUCAGUUACCUCCUGACCUGAGGGUGGAGAGUGGCAGGAAGCAAGCAUGUUUGCUGUGCAUUUAGGAAAGGCUGGUGAGCCAGAGGGACGGAUCAGGCCCCAUUCACUCUCUACUCAUUAAAAGGUCCUGAGCCACGAA
RNA transcript from Cercocebus atys (sooty mangabey), 3860 nucleotides. It is a transcript of the gene named solute carrier family 4, sodium bicarbonate cotransporter, member 9, with no coding region annotated. The transcript has 21 exons. NCBI's taxonomy places the organism in Eukaryota, Metazoa, Chordata, Mammalia, Primates, Cercopithecidae. The record is from RefSeq and is a predicted model, not a curated record.